This 497-nucleotide ribosomal RNA is filed under the name uncultured bacterium. RNAcentral's name for it is "partial 16S ribosomal RNA". It matches the Rfam family "Bacterial small subunit ribosomal RNA", at positions 28 to 507 of the family's 1533-position model. The record is from RNAcentral.
GAUGAACGCUGGCGGCGUGCCUAAUACAUGCAAGUCGAGCGAACAGACGAGGAGCUUGCUCCUCUGACGUUAGCGGCGGACGGGUGAGUAACACGUGGAUAACCUACCUAUAAGACUGGGAUAACUUCGGGAAACCGGAGCUAAUACCGGAUAAUAUAUUGAACCGCAUGGUUCAAUAGUGAAAGACGGUUUUGCUGUCACUUAUAGAUGGAUCCGCGCCGGAUUAGAUAGUUGGUAAGGUAACGGCUUACCAAGGCAAGGAUGCGUUGCCGACGGGAGAGGCUGGUAGCCCACCUGGGAGCUGGGACACGGUCCAGACUCCUGCGAGACGGCGCAGUCGCCAACCGUCGGCAGCAGGCGAAAGUAUGGCGGAGCAGGGCCACGUGAGAUAUGGCGGUCUUCCGAUCGUAAAGCUCUCUUACUGGGGGUGAACAACUGUGUACGUAACCAUGCCCUUCUUGACGGUACCUAAUCAGAAAGCCCCGGCUAACUACGUG